This 576-nucleotide ribosomal RNA is filed under the name Escherichia coli. RNAcentral's name for it is "bacterial SSU rRNA". It matches the Rfam family "Bacterial small subunit ribosomal RNA", at positions 104 to 675 of the family's 1533-position model. Lineage: Bacteria; Pseudomonadati; Pseudomonadota; Gammaproteobacteria; Enterobacterales; Enterobacteriaceae. The record is from RNAcentral.
GGGUGAGUAAUGUCUGGGAAACUGCCUGAUGGAGGGGGAUAACUACUGGAAACGGUAGCUAAUACCGCAUAACGUCGCAAGACCAAAGAGGGGGACCUUCGGGCCUCUUGCCAUCGGAUGUGCCCAGAUGGGAUUAGCUAGUAGGUGGGGUAACGGCUCACCUAGGCGACGAUCCCUAGCUGGUCUGAGAGGAUGACCAGCCACACUGGAACUGAGACACGGUCCAGACUCCUACGGGAGGCAGCAGUGGGGAAUAUUGCACAAUGGGCGCAAGCCUGAUGCAGCCAUGCCGCGUGUAUGAAGAAGGCCUUCGGGUUGUAAAGUACUUUCAGCGGGGAGGAAGGGAGUAAAGUUAAUACCUUUGCUCAUUGACGUUACCCGCAGAAGAAGCACCGGCUAACUCCGUGCCAGCAGCCGCGGUAAUACGGAGGGUGCAAGCGUUAAUCGGAAUUACUGGGCGUAAAGCGCACGCAGGCGGUUUGUUAAGUCAGAUGUGAAAUCCCCGGGCUCAACCUGGGAACUGCAUCUGAUACUGGCAAGCUUGAGUCUCGUAGAGGGGGGGUAGAAUUCCAGGUG